GUGGGGAAUCUUGCGCAAUGGGCGAAAGCCUGACGCAGCCAUGCCGCGUGGAUGAUGAAGGUCUUAGGAUUGUAAAAUCCUUUCACCGGUGAAGAUAAUGACUGUAGCCGGAGAAGAAGCCCCGGCUAACUUCGUGCCAGCAGCCGCGGUAAUACGAAGGGGGCUAGCGUUGCUCGGAUUUACUGGGCGUAAAGGGCGCGUAGGCGGACAUUUAAGUCAGGGGUGAAAUCCCGGGGCUCAACCUCGGAACUGCCUUUGAUACUGGGUGUCUUGAGUAUGAGAGAGGUGUGUGGAACUCCGAGUGUAGAGGUGAAAUUCGUAGAUAUUCGGAAGAACACCAGUGGCGAAGGCGACAUACUGGCUCAUUACUGACGCUGAGGCGCGAAAGCGUGGGGAGCAAACAGGAUUAGAAACCCUGGUAGUCC
RNAcentral lists this ribosomal RNA (425 nucleotides) under uncultured bacterium. RNAcentral's name for it is "partial 16S ribosomal RNA". It matches the Rfam family "Bacterial small subunit ribosomal RNA", at positions 354 to 796 of the family's 1533-position model. The record is from RNAcentral.